RNAcentral lists this ribosomal RNA (1017 nucleotides) under Rhizocephala sp. FW25. RNAcentral's name for it is "eukaryotic LSU rRNA". It matches the Rfam family "Eukaryotic large subunit ribosomal RNA", at positions 655 to 1592 of the family's 3401-position model. The record is from RNAcentral. Lineage: Eukaryota; Metazoa; Arthropoda; Thecostraca.
UGAAACACGGACCAAGGAGUCUAACAUGUGAGCAAGCGAUUGAGUUAUUGUCUAAGCUCAAACGCACAAUGAAAGUGAAGUGCCACCUUGUUGUGGUAUGAGCGGAGAUCAUUAUCGAAUUUAUUUGAUGGUGCGCAUCCGCGGGCCGCGCCAUCGGCUAGCUUGAUUACUCUCUUGUGGGGUGGUCACUGCUGAGGCGCGGACCAAGAGUUGACACGUUGUGACCCGAAAGAUGGUGAACUAUGCUUGGCCAGGAUGAAGCCAGGGGAAACCCUGGUGGAAGUCCGUAGCGAUUCUGACGUGCAAAUCGAUCGUCUGAGCUGGGUAUAGGGGCGAAAGACUAAUCGAACCAUCUAGUAGCUGGUUCCGCCUGAAGUUUCCCUCAGGAUAGCUGGCACUUGAUAAUACGGAGUUUCAUCCGGUAAAGCGAAUGAUUAGAGGAUACGGGUUGUUUAUUGACUCGACCUAUUCUCAAACUUUAAAUGGGUGAGAGGUCUCGCUGUCUUUAGUGCAGCUGCGACUCUGAAUCCGAGUGCCCAGUGGGCCACUUUUGGUAAGCAGAACUGGCGAUGCGGGAUGAACCGCAUGUCGAGUUAAGGUGCCUAAACGAACGCACAUCAGACACCAUGAAAGGUGUUGAUUGCUCACGACAGCAGGACGGUGGCCAUGGAAGUCGGAAUCCGCUAAGGAGUGUGUAACAACUCACCUGCCGAAGCAAUCAGCCCUGAAAAUGGAUGGCGCUGAAGCGUUCUACCGAUACUCGACCGUCGUUGGCAAGUGUGUGUUGUCUGAAGCCACGACGAGUAAGGCGGCGCGGCAGUGUGCGCUGAAGGUGUGGCCGUGAGGCCAACUGGAGCCGCUGUCGAUGCAGAUCUUGGUGGUAGUAGCAAAUACACAAGCAAGAUCCUUGUGGACCGAUGUGGAGAAGGGUUCCGCGCGAACAGUAUUUGGACGUGGGUGAGUCGGCCCUAAGCCAACGGGUAACUCCCGCAUCCCGAUGUCACAAAUGAACAAUAU